UUAGCGCCAUCUGCUCGCGGCGCCGCCUCCUGCUCCUCCCGCCGCCUCCUGCUCCUCCCGCCGCCGCUGCCGCCCUGAGUCACUGACUGCGCAGCUCCGGCCGCCUGGCUCCCCAUACUAGCCGCCGAUAUUUGGAGUUCUUACAACAUGGCAGACAUUGACAACAAAGAACAGUCUGAACUUGAUCAAGAUUUGGAUGAUGUUGAAGAAGUAGAAGAAGAAGAAACUGGUGAAGAAACAAAAAUCAAAGCACGUCAGCUAACUGUUCAGAUGAUGCAAAAUCCUCAGAUUCUUGCAGCCCUUCAAGAAAGACUUGAUGGUCUGGUAGAAACACCAACAGGAUACAUUGAAAGCCUGCCUAGGGUAGUUAAAAGACGAGUGAAUGCUCUCAAAAACCUGCAAGUUAAAUGUGCACAGAUAGAAGCCAAAUUCUAUGAGGAAGUUCACGAUCUUGAAAGGAAGUAUGCUGUUCUCUAUCAGCCUCUAUUUGAUAAGCGAUUUGAGAUCAUUAAUGCAAUUUAUGAACCUACGGAAGAAGAAUGUGAAUGGAAACCAGAUGAAGAAGAUGAGAUUUUGGAGGAAUUGAAAGAAAAGGCCAAGAUUGAAGAUGAGAAAAAGGAUGAAGAAAAAGAAGACCCCAAUCAGUGAUAUGGUUCAGGAACAUGAUGAACCUAUUCUGAAGCACUUGAAAGAUAUUAAAGUGAAGUUCUCAGAUGCUGGCCAGCCUAUGAGUUUUGUCUUAGAAUUUCACUUUGAACCCAAUGAGUAUUUUACAAAUGAAGUGCUGACAAAGACAUAUAGGAUGAGGUCAGAACCAGAUGAUUCUGAUCCCUUUUCUUUUGAUGGACCAGAAAUUAUGGGUUGUACAGGGUGUUAGAUAGAUUGGAAAAAAGGAAAGAAUGUCACUUUGAAAACCAUUAAGAAGAAGCAGAAACACAAGGGACGCGGGACAGUUCGUACUGUGACUAAAACAGUUUCCAAUGACUCUUUCUUUAAUUUUUUUGCCCCUCCUGAAGUUCCCGAGAGUGGAGAUCUGGAUGAUGAUGCUGAAGCUAUCCUUGCUGCAGACUUCGAAAUUGGUCACUUUUUACGUGAGCGUAUAAUCCCAAGAUCAGUGUUAUACUUUACUGGAGAAGCUAUUGAAGAUGAUGAUGAUGAUUAUGAUGAAGAAGGUGAAGAAGCGGAUGAGGUAAUGUUUACCAAAUGAGCAAAUAUGUUUAACACAUUGAGAAGCAAAUUGAAUGACUUAUGUAUUCCUUUGCUAUAAUCAUUCUGUGAUUUGGGAUAAAAAACAUUUUGGAAAAUAUGAUUUUAGAAUUCUACAGCCAAACAAUGUAUGUAUAAGGUUUCAAUAAAUAAAUUGCAAAACUCAAAAAAAAAAAAAAAAAAAACAUCAGCCCACACAUAUAAUUAUAGUAAUCAACAUUUACAUAUAAACAUAUUUAGAAAAGCUACAAUCUAAAUGUCUAUCAACUAAUAAAUGGACAGAUAAAAUGUGGUAUAUCCAUAGAAUAAAAUAUUAUUCAGCAAUAAAAAGAAAUGCAAUACCAAUACAUUCAUCCAAUAGGAUGAAUCCUGAGAACACUGUUAAGAAGCCAGUAACAAGGGCCACAUAUUGUACAAUUCUAUUUACAUAGAAAUGUAUAGAAUUAGGCAAAUUUACAGAAACAGAAAGUAGAUUGGUGGUUACCCAGAGCUGGGGAGUAGGAAGGGCGUAGAGGGUGAUGGCCAACAGGUAUAAGGUUUCUUUUGAGAGCUAAUGAAAAUGUUCUAAAAUUAUAAUAAUUUUAUAAUUAUAUAUACUAAAUAUACUCUGAAUAUACAAAAACCAGUUAAUUGUACACUUUAAAUGGGUAAAUUGCAUGGAAUAUAAAUUAAAUUUCAAUAAAGCUGUUAAAAAACUGUUUAGAAAAACUUCAGUUUCUGUAAAAUAACAAAACUGAAAAACUAGGGUAAAAAUAUUUAGAGAGCAGAGACUGUCUUAUUCAUCUUUGCAUUUAAAAACUUAUAACAGAAGCUCACACACAGUAGAUGCUCAAUAAAUAUUGAUUUACAUAAAUUUAAUACAAAUAACUGAAAAAUAUUGGACUGCAAGUAUUGGACUCCAAUAUUACUAAGAAAAAUGUUAUGCACUUGACUCAUUAUUCAUAACUAUAUAUUAUCUACAUAAUAAAUAUCCUUGCUAAUCUAAAAUAGGCUGGGCAUGGUAGCUCACAUCUGGAAUCCCAGCACUUUGAGAGGUUGAGGCGGGAGGAUUGGUUGAGCUCACCAGUUUGAGACAAGCCUCAGCAACAUAGCAAGGUGCCAUCUCUACAAAAAAAUUAAAAUAUUAGCCAAUAUGGUGGCACAUGCCUGUAGUCCCAGCUUCUUGGGAGGCUGAGGCAAGAGGAUCACUUGGGUCCAGAAGUAUCAGAUUACAGUGAUCUAUGAUCAUGCCACUGUGCUUCAACCUAGGUGAUAGAAUUUUUCUCAAAAAAAAUUUUUUAAUUCAAAAAUCCUUUGGAAUGCAUACCAGGUUUCCUUAGCACCAGAUUUCUUUUUUCUUAAAUAUGUUUUGCUAAAUUAAACUCAUAAUUCCCAGAAUACUAUGGAAAUCUUAAAAAGAUAGGGGGCAAGAAAAGGUCAGAAGCAAACCAGAUCGAAAUUAGCAUCUUACUAUGUAUAAUACAAAUGUGCAGCUCACAAGGAAAGAACCAACUAUACAGAUACUCCUCAACUUACAAUAGGGUUAAAUUCUGAUAAACCCAUGGUGAGUUGAAAAUAUAUGCUGAAAAUGCAUUUGAUACACCUAAUCUACUGAACAUUAUAGCUUAAUCUACCCUACCUUAAACAUCCUCAAAACACUUACAUUAGUCUACAAUUGGGUGAGAUAAUUUAACACAAAGCCUAUUUUAUAAUAAAGUGUUGAAUAUCUUUUGUAAUUUAUUGAAUACUAUAUUAAAAGUGAAAAAAAAUAAUGGUUAUGUGGGUACUUGAAGUAAUGAUUUCUACUGAAUAUGUAUCACUUUCACACCAUUGUAAAAUUGAAAACCCAUAGGUCAAACCAUCAUAAGUUGAGGACAGUCUGUAUAUCAUUUCACCUUUUUAUAUACUUGGUCUUAUAUUCAAUCACUAUAGGGGCUUUGGGGACUUUUUCAUUCUAUAUGGUGUUCUGAGUUACUGGAAGCUGGCAUUCAGCUACUGAAUUUUGACAUGUAGAAAGGUAACUGUCAAAAAUUUCAAAUGUGGAGAAUAAUCAUAUUAAUAUACUAGAAAUGCUGUAGAAGUGUAUUUCUAAUUUUCUUAAUUGUAAGCUUUGUAAAAUAAAAAAAUUUUUUAAAGUC
Callithrix jacchus (white-tufted-ear marmoset) is the source of this 3323-nucleotide RNA transcript. It is a transcript of the gene named nucleosome assembly protein 1-like 1 pseudogene, with no coding region annotated. Lineage: Eukaryota; Metazoa; Chordata; Mammalia; Primates; Cebidae. The record is from RefSeq and is a predicted model, not a curated record.